CGCUUCCAUGCAGUCGACGGCAGCAUAGGAGCUUGCUCCUGAUGGCGAGUGGCGAACGGGUGAGUAAUAUAUCGGAACGUGCCCUAGAGUGGGGGAUAACUAGUCGAAAGACUAGCUAAUACCGCAUACGAUCUACGGAUGAAAGUGGGGGAUCGCAAGACCUCAUGCUCCUGGAGCGGCCGAUAUCUGAUUAGCUAGUUGGUGGGGUAAAAGCCUACCAAGGCAACGAUCAGUAGCUGGUCUGAGAGGACGACCAGCCACACUGGGACUGAGACACGGCCCAGACUCCUACGGGAGGCAGCAGUGGGGAAUUUUGGACAAUGGGGGCAACCCUGAUCCAGCAAUGCCGCGUGAGUGAAGAAGGCCUUCGGGUUGUAAAGCUCUUUUGUCAGGGAAGAAACGGUAGUAGCGAAUAACUAUUACUAAUGACGGUACCUGAAGAAUAAGCACCGGCUAACUACGUGCCAGCAGCCGCGGUAAUACGUAGGGUGCAAGCGUUAAUCGGAAUUACUGGGCGUAAAGCGUGCGCAGGCGGUUGUGUAAGUCAGAUGUGAAAUCCCCGGGCUC
Molecule: ribosomal RNA, 567 nt
Filed under: Herbaspirillum huttiense subsp. huttiense
Lineage: Bacteria; Pseudomonadati; Pseudomonadota; Betaproteobacteria; Burkholderiales; Oxalobacteraceae
Description: bacterial SSU rRNA
Rfam family: Bacterial small subunit ribosomal RNA
Source: RNAcentral